GCCUUUGCUGCUGCAUCAUUUGAAAUUGAUGACUCUGCUGCUGCUGUCGUGGAAGAAACAACUCUGGAGGCCUCAAAUCAAAGAC
This 85-nucleotide small RNA is filed under the name Salix viminalis (osier). The record is from RNAcentral. Lineage: Eukaryota; Viridiplantae; Streptophyta; Magnoliopsida; Malpighiales; Salicaceae.